Molecule: non-coding RNA, 102 nt
Filed under: Candidatus Viadribacter manganicus
Lineage: Bacteria; Pseudomonadati; Pseudomonadota; Alphaproteobacteria; Hyphomonadales; Hyphomonadaceae
Also listed under: 1 other name
Description: Caulobacteraceae bacterium OTSz_A_272 Glycine riboswitch aptamer
Rfam family: Glycine riboswitch aptamer
About the family: This family represents the bacterial glycine riboswitch.
Source: Rfam by way of RNAcentral
AACACGCUGGAAAGAGCGCUGGACCAAGGGUCAGCGCCGCCGACGGAGUAAGCCGCGAACUGAUGCGGUGAAUCUCUCAGGCGCCAGGACAGCGGGGGCUGC